AGGUCUUGACAUCUUGCGCUAACCUAAGAGAUUAGGCGUUCCCUUCGGGGACGCAAUGACAGGUGGUGCAUGGUC
RNAcentral lists this ribosomal RNA (75 nucleotides) under uncultured Lactobacillus sp. Its description in RNAcentral is "partial 16S ribosomal RNA". The record is from RNAcentral. Lineage: Bacteria; Bacillati; Bacillota; Bacilli; Lactobacillales; Lactobacillaceae.